This is a non-coding RNA of Biomphalaria pfeifferi, 211 nucleotides long. The record is from the annotation of a GenBank genome assembly. Lineage: Eukaryota; Metazoa; Mollusca; Gastropoda; Planorbidae.
CAUUUUCUCUUGUUAAUUGAAGUCUGAAAUAAGUGUAAAUGGAAUCUUUACUUUAAAAUAUAAUUUUGAAAUAUCUAAUAUUAGCGUUAUGUUGUAUUUAAAAGAAAAGGUAGAGCCACUACCGUUCAUCCCAACGCACAAGCCACAUAACACCGUUCCUACCAAAAUAAAAACAAUAAAAAAAAAAACGCCAGCACCAGAAAUUUAUCGC